GAUGAACGCUGGCGGCGUGCCUAAUACAUGCAAGUCGAGCGAACGGACGAGAAGCUUGCUUCUCUGAUGUUAGCGGCGGACGGGUGAGUAACACGUGGAUAACCUACCUAUAAGACUGGGAUAACUUCGGGAAACCGGAGCUAAUACCGGAUAAUAUUUUGAACCGCAUGGUUCAAAAGUGAAAGACGGUCUUGCUGUCACUUAUAGAUGGAUCCGCGCUGCAUUAGCUAGUUGGUAAGGUAACGGCUUACCAAGGCAACGAUGCAUAGCCGACCUGAGAGGGUGAUCGGCCACACUGGAACUGAGACACGGUCCAGACUCCUACGGGAGGCAGCAGUAGGGAAUCUUCCGCAAUGGGCGAAAGCCUGACGGAGCAACGCCGCGUGAGUGAUGAAGGUCUUCGGAUCGUAAAACUCUGUUAUUAGGGAAGAACAUAUGUGUAAGUAACUGUGCACAUCUUGACGGUACCUAAUCAGAAAGCCACGGCUAACUACGUGCCAGCAGCCGCGGUAAUACGUAGGUGGCAAGCGUUAUCCGGAAUUAUUGGGCGUAAAGCGCGCGUAGGCGGUUUUUUAAGUCUGAUGUGAAAGCCCACGGCUCAACCGUGGAGGGUCAUUGGAAACUGGAAAACUUGAGUGCAGAAGAGGAAAGUGGAAUUCCAUGUGUAGCGGUGAAAUGCGCAGAGAUAUGGAGGAACACCAGUGGCGAAGGCGACUUUCUGGUCUGUAACUGACGCUGAUGUGCGAAAGCGUGGGGAUCAAACAGGAUUAGAUACCCUGGUAGUCCACGCCGUAAACGAUGAGUGCUAAGUGUUAGGGGGUUUCCGCCCCUUAGUGCUGCAGCUAACGCAUUAAGCACUCCGCCUGGGGAGUACGACCGCAAGGUUGAAACUCAAAGGAAUUGGCGGGGACCCGCACAAGCGGUGGAGCAUGUGGUUUAAUUCGAAGCAACGCGAAGAACCUUACCAAAUCUUGACAUCCUUUGACAACUCUAGAGAUAGAGCCUUCCCCUUCGGGGGACAAAGUGACAGGUGGUGCAUGGUUGUCGUCAGCUCGUGUCGUGAGAUGUUGGGUUAAGUCCCGCAACGAGCGCAACCCUUAAACUUAGUUGCCAUCAUUAAGUUGGGCACUCUAAGUUGACUGCCGGUGACAAACCGGAGGAAGGUGGGGAUGACGUCAAAUCAUCAUGCCCCUUAUGAUUUGGGCUACACACGUGCUACAAUGGACAAUACAAAGGGCAGCGAAACCGUGAGGUCAAGCAAAUCCCAUAAAGUUGUUCUCAGUUCGGAUUGUAGUCUGCAACUCGAGUACAUGAAGCUGGAAUCGGUAGUAAUCGUAGAUCAGCAUGGUACGGUGAAUACGUUCCCGGCUCU
This 1372-nucleotide ribosomal RNA is filed under the name uncultured bacterium. RNAcentral's name for it is "bacterial SSU rRNA". It matches the Rfam family "Bacterial small subunit ribosomal RNA", at positions 28 to 1381 of the family's 1533-position model. The record is from RNAcentral.